UACGAAGGGGGCUAGCGUUGCUCGGAAUCACUGGGCGUAAAGCGCACGUAGGCGGCUUUUUAAGUCAGGGGUGAAAUCCUGGAGCUCAACUCCAGAACUGCCUUUGAUACUGGGAAGCUUGAGUCCGGGAGAGGUGAGUGGAACUCCGAGUGUAGAGGUGAAAUUCGUAGAUAUCGGGAGGAACACCAGUGGCGAAGGCGGCGAUCUGGGUCGAUACUGACGCUGAGGUGCGAAAGCGUGGGGAGCAAACAGG
RNAcentral lists this ribosomal RNA (253 nucleotides) under uncultured bacterium. Its description in RNAcentral is "partial 16S ribosomal RNA". It matches the Rfam family "Bacterial small subunit ribosomal RNA", at positions 524 to 776 of the family's 1533-position model. The record is from RNAcentral.